This 468-nucleotide ribosomal RNA is filed under the name uncultured bacterium. Its description in RNAcentral is "partial 16S ribosomal RNA". It matches the Rfam family "Bacterial small subunit ribosomal RNA", at positions 28 to 507 of the family's 1533-position model. The record is from RNAcentral.
GACGAACGCUGGCGGCGUGCUUAACACAUGCAAGUCGAACGGAAAGGCCCUGCUUUUGUGGGGUGCUCGAGUGGCGAACGGGUGAGUAACACGUGAGUAACCUGCCCUUGACUUUGGGAUAACUUCAGGAAACUGGGGCUAAUACCGGAUAGGAGCUCCUGCUGCAUGGUGGGGGUUGGAAAGUUUCGGCGGUUGGGGAUGGACUCGCGGCUUAUCAGCUUGAUGGUGGGGUAGUGGCUUACCAAGGCUUUGACGGGUAGCCGGCCUGAGAGGGUGACCGGCCACAUUGGGACUGAGAUACGGCCCAGACUCCUACGGGAGGCAGCAGUGGGGAAUAUUGCACAAUGGGCGGAAGCCUGAUGCAGCAACGCCGCGUGCGGGAUGACGGCCUUCGGGUUAUAAACCGCUUUCGCCUGUGACGAAGCGUGAGUGACGGUAAUGGGUAAAGAAGCACCGGCUAACUACGUG